Molecule: ribosomal RNA, 438 nt
Filed under: Escherichia coli
Lineage: Bacteria; Pseudomonadati; Pseudomonadota; Gammaproteobacteria; Enterobacterales; Enterobacteriaceae
Description: partial 23S ribosomal RNA
Rfam family: Bacterial large subunit ribosomal RNA
Source: RNAcentral
CUGGUCGGACAUCAGGAGGUUAGUGCAAUGGCAUAAGCCAGCUUGACUGCGAGCGUGACGGCGCGAGCAGGUGCGAAAGCAGGUCAUAGUGAUCCGGUGGUUCUGAAUGGAAGGGCCAUCGCUCAACGGAUAAAAGGUACUCCGGGGAUAACAGGCUGAUACCGCCCAAGAGUUCAUAUCGACGGCGGUGUUUGGCACCUCGAUGUCGGCUCAUCACAUCCUGGGGCUGAAGUAGGUCCCAAGGGUAUGGCUGUUCGCCAUUUAAAGUGGUACGCGAGCUGGGUUUAGAACGUCGUGAGACAGUUCGGUCCCUAUCUGCCGUGGGCGCUGGAGAACUGAGGGGGGCUGCUCCUAGUACGAGAGGACCGGAGUGGACGCAUCACUGGUGUUCGGGUUGUCAUGCCAAUGGCACUGCCCGGUAGCUAAAUGCGGAAGAGA